UUGCAAACUCGAUCACUGGCUCUGCAUGACGUUGCAGAAGCAAGGGGAACCAGGUUUGCAAAAGUAAUUGUGGUGAUAGAAGUUUAUUUGCCUCGGAAUUGAAAUUUUCCAGGCACCUUGUUCUAUCCUAAGACAAGA
Non-coding RNA from Sarcophilus harrisii (Tasmanian devil), 138 nucleotides. The record is from Rfam. Lineage: Eukaryota; Metazoa; Chordata; Mammalia; Dasyuromorphia; Dasyuridae.